This 305-nucleotide ribosomal RNA is filed under the name uncultured bacterium. RNAcentral describes it as "bacterial SSU rRNA". It matches the Rfam family "Bacterial small subunit ribosomal RNA", at positions 334 to 656 of the family's 1533-position model. The record is from RNAcentral.
UUGCCCUACGGGAGGCAGCAGUAGGGAAUAUUGCUCAAUGGGGGAAACCCUGAAGCAGCAACGCCGCGUGGAGGAUGAAGGUUUUCGGAUUGUAAGCUCCUUUUGUUAGAGAAGAUAAUGACGGUAUCUAACGAAUAAGCACCGGCUAACUCCGUGCCAGCAGCCGCGGUAAUACGGAGGGUGCAAGCGUUACUCGGAAUCACUGGGCGGAAAGAGCGCGUAGGCGGGAUAGCAAGUCAGAUGUGAAAGCCUAUGGCUUAACCAUAGAGCUGGAUUUGAAACUGUUAUUCUAGAAUAUGGGAGAG